AACCUAAAGAAUUUGGCGGUAUUUUAAAUAAUUGGAGGAAUCUGUUUUUAAAAUGAUAAUUCACAUCAUAUCUUUCCAAAAUUUUGUUUGUAUAUCGUCGUUUAGAUAAUACUUAGAAGUAAUAAUCAUUUAUAAUAAAGUUAGUAAAAUCAGAUCAAGGUGCAGCAUAUUUUGGUUGAAAUAGAUUACAAUAUAUAAUAUAUAUAAUGGAAGAUAAAUGAAAAUAAAUCUGAAGGUGGAUUCAAAAGUAAUAUUAAAAUUAAAAUGUUUUUAUGAUUAAAUAUUUAAAAUAUGUACACAU
RNAcentral lists this ribosomal RNA (301 nucleotides) under Brotheas granulatus. Its description in RNAcentral is "partial small subunit ribosomal RNA". Lineage: Eukaryota; Metazoa; Arthropoda; Arachnida; Scorpiones; Chactidae. The record is from RNAcentral.